This 253-nucleotide ribosomal RNA is filed under the name uncultured Eubacteriales bacterium. RNAcentral describes it as "uncultured Clostridiales bacterium partial 16S ribosomal RNA". It matches the Rfam family "Bacterial small subunit ribosomal RNA", at positions 524 to 776 of the family's 1533-position model. The record is from RNAcentral. Lineage: Bacteria; Bacillati; Bacillota; Clostridia; Eubacteriales.
UACGUAGGGGGCAAGCGUUAUCCGGAUUUACUGGGUGUAAAGGGAGCGUAGACGGCAGCGCAAGUCUGGAGUGAAAUCCCAUGGCUUAACCAUGGAACUGCUUUGGGAACUGUUUUGCUGGAGUAUGGGAGGGGUAAGCGGAAUUCCUGGUGUAGCGGUGAAAUGCGUAGAUAUCAGGAGGAACACCGGUGGCGAAGGCGGCUUACUGGACCAUAACUGACGUUGAGGCUCGAAAGCGUGGGGAGCGAACAGG